GGCAUGAGCUUGAGCACUGAGCUCUGAGCUCUGGAGCAACAAUCAGUGCUACUUUAUGUUCUGUUCAUAUACGAGUAGGUACUAUAAGUUAAGUAUAUUAUGGUUGUUGAUUUUGUUCUGUUUGUGAAAUCCAACCCUCAUUUAUGGUCGCACAGCCCCGGUUUAGUUCGGUGCCCGCCGCUGAGAGUACCCGGUCUAACGCAACGCAUCAACCAAAACAAGACAAAUCAAAAGGGGGUUGUGGCGGCGGUCGCGGUGGCGGUGUUGGGUGGUUUCAAGAAUAGACAAUUGAAUAAAUUUACAAACAUUAACUUGGAAAUAAUUUUAUGUCUUAAAAUAUUCAUAUCUUAUUCAGUUUGCUUUACAAUAUGAGGUCUGCUCUCUAGAAGAAUCAAAUAAAAGAAUAAGUAUCUUUCUAUAUAAAGUAUAUAAUAUAAAAUAAUGGACGACGACGACGAUGACGAGUGGGAGAGAUGAUGAUUUGAAAUUCUAUGAAGCGAGCGCGAGCUCGGCUCAGCUCAGCAGUAGCGGCAAAGUGGAAUAAGAUGAUGGUGAAUUAUUUGAAUUGAAUGUUUAUUCUUAUUAAAUCAGCCGUGAACUUCCUGGGCAUUCGAAUUGACAACAAUUUAUAUAUUGUCAACUACGACGACGACGACGAUGUCGACAUUAGAUUCAGAAUCAGAAUCAGCAUCAACAUUAACGGUAUUGUGUGAACGAAAAUGGUACGUCUACGAUAUUAUCGUACAAACACAACACACGCAGAAGUGAAAGGGAAAUUUUUGUUGUCAUUGUGACGAUUUAACUUAAUAAAAGUGGGGAAUUUCAUGACCUAAACAAUGGAUGUUAAUAAACUGGAAAUAAAAAGUGUUUUGAAAAUAACA
Eupeodes corollae is the source of this 881-nucleotide long non-coding RNA. RefSeq lists it as uncharacterized. The transcript has 2 exons. Lineage: Eukaryota; Metazoa; Arthropoda; Insecta; Diptera; Syrphidae. The record is from RefSeq and is a predicted model, not a curated record.